UGUGGCUUGGCUCUGGUGUGGCUGUGGCUGUGGCCUAGGCCAGCAGCUGCAGUUCUGAUUCAGCCCCUAGUCUGGGAACUUCCUUAUGCUGCAGGGGCGGCCCUAAAAAGAAACACAGAACGUGUUCACGGGGCCCUCUUCCCAUCUUCUCCAGGGACAUUGGAGCCAGGAAGGCUCCAAUCAGCACAUGCAAAUCCUGAAUGGAUCAGGAGAUAGACCUUGGGACCUGGCCCUGGGCUUGGGGCCAGAUGGGGCCCUCAGCCAGGUGCUGAAAUAAAGAGCAGGACCCAGGGGUGAGGAAGUUUGUGCAGGCGGAGCCCAGUAGGACAGGACCCCUCAUGGAUGCCCGUGCCCAGGGCCUCUGAGGCCAGGGGAGAGCUGCUUCUCCUGGGGCAGCCGGGGCAGACACUGAUGGUGUCUACACAGCAAACAUUGCUCAGUUUUCCCUUCCUAACAGAAACCGAGUUUUGUGUGAGUGGUUGUGGUCCAGCCCUGGGGCUGGAGGCUGCAUGGAGUGAGGAAGAUUAAGUUUGGGUUAACGCAGUGCAGCAUUCUCUUGUCGGUGAAUGCAGUUCUUCAUUGACUGGCCUGCCUUUAUUUCACUUCCAAUUUUCUUCCUCUUNCCGCCCCCCCAUUCCAGGACUCACCGAAGCACAGGAGGGUGGUGGGAUGGGGGGCCAUGGCCCAGCCCCUGCAGCCGGUGCCCGUCCUGGAGAGAUUAUGGGGGAAGGACAGAGCCUGCCUGAUGACACAAGAGAAGAGGAUGUGCUGCCCGGGGGCCCAACUUGGGGUUUCCACACUCAGCGCCUCACACAAAGGGGAAGAGCUUGUGCCCUCCUCUCCCGGCUUCCCGCGCAGGAGACAGAGGCAGGGCCGCACUUCCAGCAGAUGCUCCAAUGCUCAGGCACUUCUCCAUCGUUUUCUGCAAACUUCCCCAGCAGUUGUAAUGAGCAUUGCAGACGUGGGAGUUCCAGCUCUGGUGGAAGGGGAUCCGAAGCGUCUCUGCAGCUCCAGGACGCAGGACACCCCAAGAAGGGCAGUCAGCCACAAGCCAGGAGGAGACGGUGCCCCCCUGCCCUCGGUCUUGGAACCUGUUUGUUCCUGGUGGGUCUUGGACUGAAGAGCAUCAGCCUCGGCCAUCAUUUGAGGCUGAAGAAGGGAUGCAGGGAUUGUUGGUGGACAGAGAGGAGAAGGAGGAAGGGGACUCCCCAAGGAUUCCCAUGAGAUGAAGAGAUACCCGCUGAGUGUCUGGCACCACAUGGGAAGCUGA
This 1270-nucleotide long non-coding RNA is filed under the name Sus scrofa (pig). RNAcentral's name for it is "lncRNA (ENSSSCG00015036247.1)". The record is from RNAcentral. Lineage: Eukaryota; Metazoa; Chordata; Mammalia; Artiodactyla; Suidae.